Molecule: ribosomal RNA, 253 nt
Filed under: uncultured bacterium
Lineage: Bacteria
Description: partial 16S ribosomal RNA
Rfam family: Bacterial small subunit ribosomal RNA
Source: RNAcentral
UACAGAGGGGGCAAGCGUUAUUCGGAAUUAUUGGGCGUAAAGGGCGCGUAGGCGGCUUUUCAAGUGACGGGUGAAAUCCCUCGGCUUAACCGAGGAACUGCCUGUCAGACUGGAAGGCUUGAGACCGGGAGAGGUGAGUGGAAUUCCCAGUGUAGCGGUGAAAUGCGUAGAUAUUGGGAGGAACACCGGUGGCGAAGGCGGUCUUCUGGACGGUGACUGACGCUGAGGCGCGAAAGCGUGGGGAGCAAACGGG